RNAcentral lists this small RNA (125 nucleotides) under Marmota monax (woodchuck). Lineage: Eukaryota; Metazoa; Chordata; Mammalia; Rodentia; Sciuridae. The record is from RNAcentral.
GCCAGGUGUGGUGGCGCACACCUGUAAUCCCUGAGGCUUGGGAGGCAAUUCAGUGAGACCCUGUCUCUAAAUAAAAUAUAAAAAGGGCUAGGGAUGUGGCUCAGUGGUCAAGCACCUCUGGGUUC